Eublepharis macularius is the source of this 4127-nucleotide RNA transcript. It is a transcript of the gene named zinc finger protein OZF-like, with no coding region annotated. Lineage: Eukaryota; Metazoa; Chordata; Lepidosauria; Squamata; Eublepharidae. The transcript has 5 exons. The record is from RefSeq and is a predicted model, not a curated record.
ACCUCUCCCUCUCUGUGGAAGAGUGAAAGCAUCGUCUGUGCAGCCAGACAAGAGUUUAGUGACCUUGGAGGAUGUGGCUGUGGACUUCUCAGAGGAGGAAUGGGCUCUGCUGGAUCCAGGCCAAAGGGCCCUGCACAGGGAAGUCAUGGAGGAGAACCACAGGAUUCUAGCCUCUCUGGAGAGCGAGAGCAACAGAGGGGAGAAAGAACAAAGAAGGAUAUCUAAAGGCCAGCUGCAAGGGAGGAAGAAAUCCAUUGCUUCUAAAUGUUCCAAUUUCCAGGAAAUUCCAGUUCAAAAAGAAAGUUACAGAGGAACUGAUGGGAAUAAAUUCCCUGUAUGUACAAAAAUGUCUAUGGAUAAAUCAAGACUUGAUGCUUGUCAAAAAACAGGAAAUGGGAAGCAAGUUGUGAAAUCAUUAGAGUGUCAGGAAAGUUGGAGUCUGAGCAACAAAAUUAUUUUACACGAAAGAGUGGACACAGAUAAAAAGCCACACAAAUGUUCAGUGUGUGGAAAGAGUUUCAGUCGAUACUCAAACCUUACUUCCCAUCAAAGAAUCCACACCGGGGAGAAACCACAUAAAUGUUCAGACUGUGGAAAGAGCUUCAGUUGUAAGCCAAACCUCACUACCCAUCAAAGAAUCCACACUGGAGAGAAACCAUAUAAAUGUUCAGACUGUGGGAAGUGCUUCAUUCAGAAGGUGCAACUCACUUUACAUCAAAGAAUCCACACAGGAGAGAAACCAUAUCAGUGCUCCCAGUGUGGAAAGAGUUUUUAUCGCAGCUCACACUUUCAUUCUCAUCAAAGAAUCCACACUGGGGAGAAACCAUAUCAGUGCUCAGAGUGUGGAAAGAAGUUUCUUCAUAGGGAGAGCCUCACUUACCAUCAAAGAAUCCACACAGGGGAGAAACCAUACAAAUGCUCUGAAUGCGGAAAGUGCUUCACUCAUAAGGAGACCCUCACUUACCAUCAAAGAAGCCACACAGGGGAGAAACCAUAUCAAUGUUCAGAGUGUGAAAAGAGCUUCAAUUGCAUUUCUCAUCUUAAUUACCAUCAAAGAAUUCAUACAGGGGAGAAACCAUAUAAAUGCCUAGAGUGUGGGAAAAGCUUCAGUCAUAGGGAGAGCCUCACUUCCCAUCAAAGAAUCCACACAGGGGAGAAACCAUAUAAAUGCUUAGAGUGUGGAAAAAGCUAUCAUCGCAACUCGCACCUUACAUCUCAUCAAAGAAUCCACACAGGGGAGAAACCAUAUAAAUGCUCAGUGUGUGGAAAGGACUUUGUCUGGAUGUCAGCACUUAAUUCCCAUCAAAGAGUCCACACAGGGGAGAAACCAUAUAAAUGCUCAGAGUGUGAAAAGAGCUUCAGUCAUAACUCAAGCCUUAUAUCACAUCAAAGAAUCCACACAGGAGAGAAGCCAUAUAAAUGUUCACAGUGUGGAAAGGGCUUUCGUAGCAGCGCACAUCUUACAUCGCAUCAAAGAACUCACACAGGAGAGAAACCAUAUAAAUGCUCAGUGUGUGGAAAGAGCUAUCAUCGCAACUCACACCUUACAUCCCAUCAAAGAAUCCACACUGGGGAGAAACCAUAUAAAUGCUCAGUGUGUGUAAAGAGCUUCAGUCAGAAGGACAGCCUCAUUUCCCAUCAAAGAAUCCACACAGGGGAGAAACCAUUUCAAUGUUCAACAUGUGGAAAGAGUUUCCGUCAGAGCUCACACCUGACUUCUCAUCAGAGAAUACACACAGGGGAAAAACCGUACCAAUGUUCAGCUUAUGGAAAGUCCCUUGAGGUCUUUGAGACGCUAACAUUCUUGGCAUGUUCUACAGUUUUGCCAGAAUCAAGUGUCGUACAGUGGUUAGAAUGCUAGACCGGAGCCACCCGGGAUCCUUUCCCUACUCAUCCAAUAAACCUGCAGGUGAACUUGGGUCAAGCCAUCUCUUAGCACAACCUACCUCAUCAGAUUUGUUCCAGGUGAAGGAAAGGGACACAUGCUACUCUGAAGAUCCUGCAAACUGGAGGACCUGGCUUCUUUUAUUGAGUCGAGCCAUCUUGUUUCAGUGGCUGAGAUCCAGCAUUUCUCCCAGAAGAAGUCCUGUGGCCUCGCAGCUCCUGUUCAGACACGGCCAUGCAAAGAGGACGGGGGGGGGGGCAGGGUCUCACCCAGCACCAGACGUCUCCUUGAACUUCACCGGCCGUCUGCAACUACAACGUGACUCUGCUUGGAAAAACACAAGUGAAAUGGAGAGCAAUCUAGGAAUACGUGGAAGACCACAGUCUGCAGCAACAGGCACAGAAUACAGGAUGAAGGUUGUAAAUAAGACGACGUGUGACUCCCCUGAAAUGGCACGGAAUUUGCAUGCAAUAGAGUCCCUAGUGCUGAGAGAAAAUCUGCAACGAGGAUCUUUGUUCAACUAUUAGGUGUUAGAAUGCCUAGGGUGGGGUUGCCAACUCUGGCUUGGAAAAUUCCUGGAGAUUUGAGGGCAGUCCCUGGAGAGGGACUUCCAUUUCUCCUGGACUCUAUGGUAUACUAUGGUGUCAGCCCUCUGGAGCUGCCAUUUACUCCAAGGAAGUUCCAGGAAUAGUCCAGCUCCUGCCUGGGGAUUUGCAACCCUUGCCUAGGGGGAAAACCUGUUAUAAUUUCACUUUAUCUAAAUAUGGGGAAACUAGUCUGCAGCAACAUGCAUGGAAAGCUGUAUGAAGCUUGUAAACUAAUGGCGUUCUGCUUGCCUGAAAUAACAAGGAAUUAAUACACAACAGAGUCCCAAGCAGUGGGAGAAAAUAGCCAGAUAGGAUCUUUGCUCAACAAUUUGCUCCGGGCAAAAACCUCUUGGGAUUUCAUAUUUUCUAAAUAGGGGGUGGGGGAUUGUGCUUUGUGCUACGGAGAGAGAUCAAAAGAUAGCCUUGCUGAAUCUAAUGCCAUGAAACCAUCAACUGUACCUCCACAAAACUGUGUUUUGUAAUAUUUAUAGCAAGGAAAAUUGAGUGGACAAAUAUGUGGGAAAAUUAUACUCCUCUCAAACACAUGAAUGAAUGAAUGAAUGAAUGAAUGAAUGAAUGAAUGAAUGAAUGAAUGAAUGAAUGAAUGAGAGUUGGAAAAUCAGGAUGAUGAUAAUGCGUCAAUUGCCUGUCGAGGAGCAGAAGCCCAGACUCUGAAGUGACGUUCCUGGUCCCCUAGUUUGGGUUUGUUUUUUCUUCUCCUUCUCAGCAGAGACCUGAUUGUGAAAACUCCAGCAUGAGGCAAGCUAUUGAAGGAUGCCUCUGUUUUGGUUCCUGUGGCUUUAUCAGGCAACAGUUACUUUGCUGGACCCUUCUUGUGCAGAAGUGAGGGAGAUGAUGCCAUGAUAUUAGAAUCCUCCCCUGUUGAAUCUCUGCCUGCCAAGCCCUUUUAAUGCCAGAAGUGCACCCAGACUUCCUUCGCUCAUGAUCCCAAAGCCGUCAUGUUCGAUUUCUCUCUAAGUCUUUUCUGUAGGGCUUGGAGCCUUUUGUAAGGGGUACCAGGGGGAGAGGCCCCAGUUCUCUGCCUCUAAGGAACAGCAGCCCCUCUUUUUUUGGAAGCUGCAUUUCCUACACUAGGAGAGGCACCCUCCACAAGAUGGCAACUUUAUUUUAAAGAUGAGAGGUUCUGUUGCUUGCACAGAGAGGCCAUAGUCAGAUGUGUGACUGGAGCUUUGGAAAGUGCCAAGGAAGAAAGGCAGCAGCCCAGUUUCUUCAUUUCUCUCUCUGACCAAGCACAACUCCUGCUUCCUGCUUGUCUAGGAGACCCUCAGCAAUAGGGUUGCCAGGCGGCCUGUUUCAAACCGGACAGUCUGGUAUUUGCUGUCUGAGAAAUCAAUUGAGAAAAGACAUGGCAUACAAAUGUCUGGUAUUUUCUAAUUAAGAUUUCCAAGAAACGGGCAGUUCCAAAGGGACUGAGCUGGGGGAAGCUCAAGGGUUCAAAUGAAAAAGGAGAUGAGAAAAUAAAGGAGCAAAAAAAAAUCCCUCCAGGGCAGGGGUGGGCAAAUUGCGGCCCGCGGGCCACAUGCGGCCCGCUACAGAGUUUUUUGUGGCCUGCCAAGACAGUCAGAAAAAUCUGCCUUGAACCGAGAUUUCCUUCUAAAAUUAAAUGUGCUUGCAGCUAUAGAUGAUAUGAAAUU